Molecule: ribosomal RNA, 253 nt
Filed under: uncultured bacterium
Lineage: Bacteria
Description: partial 16S ribosomal RNA
Rfam family: Bacterial small subunit ribosomal RNA
Source: RNAcentral
UACGAAGGGUGCAAACGUUGCUCGGAAUCAUUGGGCGUAAAGCGCACGUAGGCGGCUUUGCAAGUCGGACGUGAAAUCCCUCAGCUCAACUGAGGACGUGCAUCCGAAACUGCAAGGCUUGAGUACUGAAGAGGAUCGCGGAAUUCCCGGUGUAGAGGUGAAAUUCGUAGAUACCGGGAGGAACACCAGUGGCGAAGGCGGCGAUCUGGGCAGAUACUGACGCUGAGGUGCGAAAGCGUGGGGAGCAAACAGG